Molecule: ribosomal RNA, 253 nt
Filed under: uncultured bacterium
Lineage: Bacteria
Description: partial 16S ribosomal RNA
Rfam family: Bacterial small subunit ribosomal RNA
Source: RNAcentral
UACGUCGGUCCCGAACGUUGCGCGAAUUUACUGGGCGUAAAGGGUCCGUAGGCGGUUUAGCAAGUGGUUGGUGAAAUUUCACGGCUCAACCGUGAAACUGCCUUCCAAACUGCUAAACUUGAGGCAGGGAGAGGUCGGCGGAAUUCCCGGUGUAGCGGUGAAAUGCGUAGAUAUCGGGUGGAACACCAGUGGCGAAGGCGGACGACUGGGACUGUCCUGACGCUGAGGGACGAAAGCUAGGGGAGCAAACCGG